This is a long non-coding RNA of Penaeus indicus, 1049 nucleotides long. RefSeq lists it as uncharacterized. The record is from RefSeq and is a predicted model, not a curated record. The transcript has 9 exons. Lineage: Eukaryota; Metazoa; Arthropoda; Malacostraca; Decapoda; Penaeidae.
GCCUUUCUCAACUUGCUUGGCUUGGCAUAAUGAUGGAUGGUAGAAAGAUGGAAGAUAUCCACCUGAAUAAGCUUGACUAGUUUAUUCAAACUAAAAUUUUCGGACAGUUGAAAGAAGCUAUUGCUAAAUGUGACGAAUGAUAUUUGUUUUCGUUUGUUUGAUUAGUCUCUCCUCUUUCCAGAAAUAGUGUAGCAGAAGAAACACGUGACAGCUGGGAUGCCUCAAUCUAACUGGUUACUGCUAUAGAAAAAAUGUAAAGCAUGGCAGGAAAGUUCAUGCUGUUAGAAUGGAAUUCAGAGCUCUGUAGCUUAGUAAGAAAGAAGGAAGAAAGUUCAGACACCAAUGGGAACUGGUCACCAUCAUUAACAGGUUAUAUUUAAAAGAAAUGGCUUGGGUGAAGAAACCUUGAAGGUCAGAUGCCUGUGGUACCCGUCAACUACAUUGAAAAGAUUACAUUUAAAAAAAAUGGUUUGGCUGAAAAAACAUGAAGGCAAAAUACCUGUGAUAACCGAUCACCUUUACUGAAUUAGAAAUGGUUUGGCUGAAGAAGCAUGAAGCCAAAAUACCUGUGAUAACCGAUCACCUUUACUGAAUUAGGAAUUAUUUUGAUGGAGUAGGAGUGUGAAGCUCAAGAUACCUGUAGGACAACUGGAUGGCUUUAUGAAAAGAUAUGAUGUGUAACAGAAAGGUCUGUGCUGUCAGAGUGGAAAUCAGAUCCAGCCCAGCCUCCCUCGUUUAAGGGUAAGAAUUGCUUGAACUUCGCAAGCGCUGCCACAAAAUGGAUUUUUUAAUGAUGCAUAUAUUGUGAAUGGUAAACCCUCUACUGUAUUGAUACUGUGAUGGACAAAAAACCACAAUACACAAACAAGAUUUAUUAGAAAUGAGAACUGUUUUGAAAUCCUUGAUUCCCAAUUCAGGUCAGACCUGAAGGUGGAAUUCAGGAGGAUUUUGAAACUGUUGUCUUGUUUUUAACAAAUCUAGUUUGUGACUGUGGGUUUUUCUACUAUGUGUAUUGUAUCUUUUUUUUAAUAAAGUACUUUAAAUAAAAA